CGCCACUGGCCGGAGAGGAAGGACGUGAGGGGAGUGCCAAGAUUCACCCCCCCACCCCCACAUCCUUCCAUUUAUUAGUGAUUUCACCAGGACGAGAAGUGAAUGAGAACCAUACAUUUCCACGCCCGCUAUGAUGUUCCCACGCCCAUCAUUUUGUUCCCACGCUUCCCACGACAUAACAGGUUUCCGAGUGACCUUGCAGGGAAACUAGUCCAGAGUGGAAAGAAGAGAAAGACCAAGAAUACACUAACAAGAUGGAAAAAAAAAAAGGAAAAUGAAGCCAGAAGAGGA
Molecule: long non-coding RNA, 291 nt
Organism: Portunus trituberculatus (swimming crab)
Lineage: Eukaryota; Metazoa; Arthropoda; Malacostraca; Decapoda; Portunidae
Exons: 3
Source: RefSeq, a predicted model, not a curated record